AUUGAACGCUGGCGGCAGGCCUAACACAUGCAAGUCGAGCGGGUGCAUCGAUCUCGCUCCUGGAUUCAGCGGCGGCCGGGUGAGUAAUGCCUAUGAAUCUGUCUUGUCGUGGGGGAUAACGUCCUGAUACGGGCUCUAAUACCUCAUACGUCCUGUUGCUGAAAGUGGGGGAUCUUCGGUCCUCUCGCUAUCAUAUUAGCAUAGUUCGGAUUAGCUAGUUGGUGGGGUAAAGGCCUAACAAGGCUACGAUCCGUAACUGGUCUGAGAGGAUGAUCAGUCACAUUGGAACUGAGACACGGUACAGACUCCUACGGGAGGAAGCAGUGGGGAAUAUUGGACAAUGGGCGAAAGCGUGAUACAGCCAUGCCGCGUGUGUGAAGAAGGUCUUCGGAUUGUAAAGCACUUUAAGUUGGGAGGAAGGGCAGUAAGUUAAUACCUUGCUGUUUUGACGUUACCAAAAGAAUAAGCACCGGCUAACUUCGUG
RNAcentral lists this ribosomal RNA (484 nucleotides) under uncultured bacterium. RNAcentral's name for it is "partial 16S ribosomal RNA". It matches the Rfam family "Bacterial small subunit ribosomal RNA", at positions 30 to 507 of the family's 1533-position model. The record is from RNAcentral.